Molecule: unclassified non-coding RNA, 1603 nt
Filed under: Leishmania donovani
Lineage: Eukaryota; Euglenozoa; Kinetoplastea; Trypanosomatida; Trypanosomatidae
Description: gene:LdHU3.28.0570(CDS-product:hypothetical_prote in_conserved)
Source: RNAcentral
CUCACCUCCGGUGCGUGAACGCACUCUCAGUGGUGGUACGGCCGCAAGAGAAAGUCAAGAAGUGGCGCAGCUGGCUCACUUCACCAGUGGCCCUAACUAUUUUAGUUUUGGCUGUCGUAGGUCAGUCCACCACAGGAAUACCGCACCUGCAGCUUUCACAGCGACUUCCUUGCACCUCUCACGUGCAAGUACCUUAUCCCUUUCUUGCUACUCGCUAUUCUGCGUGUUGUUUGCUAUCCCAUGGACCUUAACGACUUUCUGCGCAACACCAAAACCGCAGCGCAGAACGGUAACGCCUGCGCUCGGACUCUGCUGUCGGGUCACAAACGUUUUGGAGACGCCAACGAGGCGUCAGCUGAGGCUUCCUCCAGCGGUGCAGGUGCGAGUGGCAAGCGCCCCCGACGCAGCGGAACUGCGGAGGGGCUGAACAUACAGGCGGCGCAGGAAGCCCUCGCGCAGGAGCGUGGCAACACCUCGGCUCAGGCGCAGCAGCAGCGCGCGCAGGCUGAGCUCUUAUCGGAGCAGGCGGCAGCGCGCAUGGUGCAUCAGGUUCUGGAAUAUGUGAUGCAAGUGGAGCUGGGUGGUCGGCACAACGCAGCCAAAGGAGGCAUUGCACCGUUUGUUCCGUCUGCGGCGCAGCUGGCGGCCGAGAAAGCCAUGUGGACACCUGCAGCAGGCUAUGUAAUCCAUCACGUGGUGCCUGCCACGCUCGACACGUCCCCGCAAACGCUCGAGUCGCUGAUGAGCGUCACAGAGAAGGAGCGGGUGCCAGAGGGGGUGCGCGCUCUCCGCGGCACGUUGCAGGUGUGCGACACAGAGCGUGAUUUGGUCGGAGGCGUGCGCACCAGCAUGGCGCCGCACCUUCGCACGCAUGUGUUGGAGGUGCUAGAAAAGGGCCUUCGCGGCCAGGCAUGGCUACGUGACGACGCGGCGGUGGCUACCCAGAUCUCCGCGCUUGGCAAGCCGACAACGCCAGAUAAGGGCCCGUCUAGCGUUCUGCUAUUUGGUGGUUUAACCACAGCUUCUGUCGCGAACAGCGACGCGACAAGCAGUGCACGCGAUACGGCAUCGGCUGGUGAUGGGGCGUCAAAACCACGAUCCAAAGGCUUCUCGCUCGCAGCCUUCCUUAACAGUAAUGACCCCACCUCGUCGUCGUCAGAUGGGGAGGAUCCGUGACGCCCUCGCAUAUCGGCCUUUUUGACUGGCGUAUUGGUCGGCACUCAUGCGCUCGCGUGUGUGCGCGCGAACCUAUGCUUUCGAGACGCCGUUUCGAAGUGUAUGGCGGCCCCACAUUUUGGUCUUUUCCCCUCCCAUGCGCAGUGGGCAGUGUGGUGGGGCUCAUCGCUCCUCAGGUACGCUCUCUGCAUAGCAGUUCCACAUGCACCCCUCAAAGAAGCCUCGCUCGUUUCCAUCCGUGACAGGAAGGCGCGGUAGCGCUGACACUCUCUGCCCUUUCCUACUUCCUUGAAUGUGUCCCUACAGUCCGAUACGCUUCUGGUGGUCUUCUGUUUCUCCUCCAAGUGCGAAGCAAUCGCUCGCCGUGAACACCCGUUCUUCGGCUCGUCCUUUCGCUCCCGCUCUCGCUCUCACUCCUGGCUCUUCU